GUUAGGCCUCUGCUGCUGUCUUUUCCCACCUUAAUAUGAACAUGCUUUUCUCUGCUUUUUUCCCUGCAAAGGUUGAAAAGUCACACUCCAUCCUAUUGCGAUGAGUCCCUGUUUGGCACCAAGCCUGAGGAUCCGUCCUGGGCAGCUUCUUGGAUGAAGAGAGAAGAUGUAGCCAAACUUCGUCCACUGCUCUGGAGCCCGUCAUCCGCCCCCCGAAACCAGUCAAGCCUUUCCUCCCGCUCCAAGGAGACGCCCUUGAGGGCUGUCCACCCACGAGCCUCAGCAUCGCCAGCGCUAGCAAACCUUGGCACAGAUCAUAAGGGCGAGUCUUACAUCUGGAAACGGCCUGAGAGCAAUUCGGACUCUGAAGGCCGGAGUGCUCCCAACAGAGGACGUUCUCAGUCUCUCACUCGGCUGAACGCCUCUCCGGAUAGCCUCCGACUGGCUUCAGGCAACCCCAAGACAGAAAAGCAUAAAAAUCAGUGCCCCUCAACAGCCCCUGCAACACCCCGAGGUCCUCUGAUGAGGGUUCGGUCUAAGAGCGUGUCUGCACCUUGUUUUGCCAGGAACUCCAAGGCAGGGUCUGACACCCAUUGAGCAAACAAGGGAAGGAGCUGUCAGGGAGCAGCGAGAAGGGGACUGCUCCACGAGGGAGGACGAGCCAGGAGCUGAGAGUGACCACAGCAUCAACGCGGCAGUGAGUGACCUCCCUGAGCGGGGUACAGUCCCAUGGCACCCAAGCAGGACAGCCGUGGCAGUAAUAACAGCUUUCAUUGCCUGUCCAGGGAUCAUCAGAUGAGGUGAGGUAAUGAGUCAGGUUGCUUCCGUCCAGGACGUCCAGUCAGGACAGCCAGGAGACAGGACUACCGACAGCAUAGGUGCAGGGCCCAGCCAGGAGACAGGACCGGACACAGGUACACCUACAGUGUAGCCCAGAGUAAGAUGGGGGGCUGGGACCGAGCGCAAAUGGGGCUCCUGGACCGUGGAGCAGAGGGUGCCUGGGUAGAGGUCCCAGGUGAGGCUGGCCAGGGCAGGUAAGGUCUGUUGGUGCGCUCAGAGCCCUGACAGGAACCUCCACUGUCCACUUCUGGGGAGAGAGGAGUUUGGCUUCAUCCUGCCUGUCACAUGCAGUCACAGCCUCAUUCGGGUUGGACGGCACCGCAGGAGGUCUCUAAUCUGAACUGCUCGGGGCAGGGUCAGCUCUGGGGUCGGACCAGGUUGCUCAGGGCUUUAUCCAGUUGGGUCUUGGAGACCGCCAAGGACUGAGACUGCAUGAUGUUUCCGGCACCCUGUUCCAAUGCUUCAGUGUCCUUGCAAUGAAAAAAUUUUCCCUUGUAACCAGCCAGAGCCUUUCUUGCCUCAAUUUUGGUCUAUUCUCUCACUCUCCUGCCAAACACCUUAGCAAAGAACCUGGCACUAUCUUCUUGGUAACCUCUUUGUGGGUGCUGCUGUGAGAUCCCCCGCGAAACUUUCAUUCUCCAGGUUGAACAAGAUGGUUUUACUUGCAGCCUCUGAUCAUGGGGCACGUGCUCCAGUCCCUGACCAUCUUGGUGGCUCUCUGCUGGACUCGCUCCAGUUUAUCAACGUUUUAGUGAUACCCUUUGGCCAAGGAAGGAGACGGGAGAGCGAGCAGAGAGGUGAGGAAUGGCAUCGCCCUAUGUCCUUCUCGCAGUGGGAUGCUCUUAGAGUGGAUGGGUUUGCGUGGCAGAGCAAGGAUCUGCCUCGGUGAUUUCAGCAGUUGCUUGGGAUUGGGCCUUGCUGACUGGACACAAAAAUCCUGUGAUUGAUACUGAACGCUGUGAGGUGCUGUCACAGCGAUGCUACGCUUGCAUACAAAUAAAUGAUCAAAGGCAAAUCUGCUGGGGCCUUGU
Molecule: long non-coding RNA, 1871 nt
Organism: Struthio camelus australis
Lineage: Eukaryota; Metazoa; Chordata; Aves; Struthioniformes; Struthionidae
Source: Ensembl